GCCAGGUUGCCCGAGCGGCCAAAGGGAGCGGACUGUAAAUCCGCCGGUUUUUACCUACGUAGGUUCGAAUCCUUCACCUGGCA
This 83-nucleotide transfer RNA is filed under the name Corynebacterium sp. Its description in RNAcentral is "tRNA-Tyr". It matches the Rfam family "tRNA". Rfam says of the family: Transfer RNA (tRNA) molecules are approximately 80 nucleotides in length. Lineage: Bacteria; Bacillati; Actinomycetota; Actinomycetes; Mycobacteriales; Corynebacteriaceae. The record is from RNAcentral.